This 252-nucleotide ribosomal RNA is filed under the name uncultured bacterium. RNAcentral's name for it is "partial 16S ribosomal RNA". It matches the Rfam family "Bacterial small subunit ribosomal RNA", at positions 525 to 776 of the family's 1533-position model. The record is from RNAcentral.
ACGAAGGGUGCAAGCGUUAAUCGGAAUUACUGGGCGUAAAGCGUGCGUAGGUGGUUUGUUAAGUCUGCUGUGAAAGCCCUGGGCUCAACCUGGGAAUGGCGGUGGAUACUGACAAGCUAGAGUGCGGUAGAGGAGGGUGGAAUUCCCGGUGUAGCGGUGAAAUGCGUAGAUAUCAGGAGGAACACCGGUGGCGAAGGCGGCCCUCUGGACGGUGACUGACGCUGAGACGCGAAAGCGUGGGGAGCAAACAGG